UUUGUAUUACGUGCGGAAAUUGUUACCAUUUUCGGCUCAAAAAUGGUAACAAUUUCCGCACGUAAUACAAC
This 71-nucleotide microRNA precursor is filed under the name Paramuricea clavata. The record is from RNAcentral. Lineage: Eukaryota; Metazoa; Cnidaria; Anthozoa; Malacalcyonacea; Plexauridae.